RNAcentral lists this non-coding RNA (184 nucleotides) under Candidatus Latescibacterota bacterium. Its description in RNAcentral is "Candidatus Latescibacteria bacterium 6S RNA". It matches the Rfam family "6S / SsrS RNA". From Rfam's summary of the family: E. coli 6S RNA was the first non coding RNA to be sequenced, but its function was unknown until recently. Lineage: Bacteria; Pseudomonadati; Candidatus Latescibacterota. The record is from RNAcentral.
AAUUCCCUACCAUGCUCGUGAUGGUUAAGGUAAGCUAUUGAGCCAACACCUCUCUGUGGGAUGCUCAAAUUUGAUGAGGGAUGUCAUGCCCUCUCGUUAGGGAAGACAAAACUGAUCAUGAGAGUUUCCACUUGAACCUUCGGGUUCAAAAGCUCCCUUUCACACGGCAUAGCGUGGGGAAUUU